GUGAAUCAUCGAAUUUUUAAACGCAAAUUGCACUCUCUUCGGAGAGUAUGCCUUUUUGGGGGUCAGCCUAAAAAAAAUCGUCAUAGUUGCUGUUACGCGGUAACAUUCGUCGAUGAUUGGGUCAUCUUAAACCUGUUGGUUUAAGCGGCUUAAAAUUUUCUUUUCGAUUCCAAGAACGUUUCUAAGUUUUUUUUUUA
Molecule: unclassified non-coding RNA, 197 nt
Filed under: Glomus sp.
Lineage: Eukaryota; Fungi; Glomeromycota; Glomeromycetes; Glomerales; Glomeraceae
Description: partial contains 5.8S ribosomal RNA and internal transcribed spacer 2
Rfam family: 5.8S ribosomal RNA (bases 1-65)
Source: RNAcentral